GGUCGGUUAGCUCAGCUGGUUAGAGCGUCGUACUAAUAUCUCUCCUUGGGGAAAUAUGAAGUAAAUGCGAAGGUCAUGAGUUCAAUCCUCAUACUGACCA
Molecule: non-coding RNA, 100 nt
Organism: Xylariaceae sp. FL0804
Lineage: Eukaryota; Fungi; Ascomycota; Sordariomycetes; Xylariales; Xylariaceae
Source: the annotation of a GenBank genome assembly